AGAGUUUGAUCAUGGCUCAGGAUUAAUGCUGGUGGUAUGCAUAACACAUGCAAGUCGAACGAGUAGAACUUGUUCUGCUAGUGGCAAACGGGCGAGUAAUACAUAUUUAACUUACUUUUACGAGGAGGAUAGCAGUUCGAAAGGACUAUUAAUACUCCAUAGGUUUAUAAACUAAAUCAAAGAGGCUCCCUCGGGGGCCUCGCGUGUAAAUAGGAAUAUGUCCUAUUAGGUAGUUGGCGGGGUAAAGGCCCACCAAGCCAGUGAUGGGUAGCUGGACUGAGAGGUUGAACAGCCGCAAUGGGAUUGAGAUAUGGCCCAUAUUCCUACGGGAAGCAGCAGUGAGGAAUUUUUCACAAUGGACGAAAGUCUGAUGGAGCAAUACCACGUGAACGAUGAAGGUCUUCUGAUUGUAAAGUUCUUUUAUUUAGGAAAAAAAGCGCGCUAGGAAAUGAGCGCGCCUUGAUGGUACUAAUUGAAUAAGUGACAGCUAACUAUGUGCCUGCAGCUGCGGUAAAACAUAGGUCACGAGCAUUAUCCGGAUUUAUUGGGCGUAAAGGAAGCGUAGGUGGGGAGGUUGAUCCAUUGUUAAAGGCAUUUGCUUAACAAAUGUGUGCGAUGGAGAUCGCCUCCCUAGAGUUAAUCAGGGGGUACUGGAAUUCAAUGUGUAGCGGUGGAAUGCGUAGAUAUAUUGAGGAACACCAGAGGCUAAGGCGAGUGCCUAGGAUAUAACUGACACU
RNAcentral lists this ribosomal RNA (737 nucleotides) under uncultured bacterium. RNAcentral describes it as "bacterial SSU rRNA". It matches the Rfam family "Bacterial small subunit ribosomal RNA", at positions 8 to 747 of the family's 1533-position model. The record is from RNAcentral.